This 301-nucleotide ribosomal RNA is filed under the name uncultured bacterium. RNAcentral describes it as "partial 16S ribosomal RNA". It matches the Rfam family "Bacterial small subunit ribosomal RNA", at positions 509 to 807 of the family's 1533-position model. The record is from RNAcentral.
CAGCCGCCGCGGGAAUACGAGGGGGGCAAGCGUUGUUCGGAAUUACUGGGCGUAAAGCACACGUAGGCGGCUUGGUAAGUUAGAGGUGAAAGCCCGGAGCUCAACUCCGGAAUUGCCUUUAAGACUGCCGAGCUAGUAGGUGAGAGAGGUAAGUGGAAUUCCGAGUGUAGAGGUGAAAUUCGUAGAUAUUCGGAAGAACACCAGUGGCGAAGGCGGCUUACUGGCUCAUUCUAGACGCUGAGGUGCGAAAGCGUGGGGAGCAAACAGGAUUAGAUACCCCCGUAGUCCCUGUCUCUUAUAC